AUGUGGAUGGAGGGGAACCAAACGCACGUCUGUCUCGUUACAACGUGUUGGUCUUUGGUGAGUUUGCCCUCGGAGGAUUGCUUCCCGCUUGGCCUGCUCUGCUCUGUAUUGUCAGCGUGUGCGUGUGCGCAUGCGCGCGCAUGCCCGCAGUGGAGAGGGGCUGGUCCCCGGAGGAUGUGUUUCCCCGUCUCCCAGGGCCGCUGACUUCUCCUGGCCUCAGCCAAUGGGAAGCGUUAUUGAAGAAGCGGAGAGAAGAGGGCAGGGAGAAGCCAGAGUAUUUCUCCCCAUCUCUGUCGGCCUCGGGCAGCUUCUCUGGAAACAGCCGCCUCGCCUGCCAGGCUCCAGCUCCCCCAGACGGGCCCUUCGUCAUCUCAGCUUCCACCUGGUGGCCCCAUCCCUGGGCCCCGAAACCACCACCUUGUGUCCCUCCAGCCUACGGGUGGGGGCUUCCUGCCGUUCCCAGGUUCCAGGGCGCACGCGUCACCACCCUGUUGGGUCUCAGCAGCUCCACCCCUGUGUAAACCACUUCCCUCUGGGUCACAGAGUGGCCUUGGCUGAUGUUGGAGUUCGAGGCUGUGUUUAUGUUGAACAGAAGAGCACCAAGGCCCAGCUGGGAGUGCCAAGCCAGCUCUCACCUGCCAGGAGCUGCUUUUCCUUGGUGUUAAUAAGACACAGAGUAGAAGCGUGAGUCCAGGCAGAGGGGCAGUGGUCCACGUGAGAGGUGAAGGUGUCUUGCACUAGGUGAGCGUGGAGCUGAGGGGAAAUAACUGGAUUCAGGAUACAUGUGAGGCCACGGCCCGCGCUCAAACCACAUGGAGCUUUCCAGCUCCUGGGAAGGAUGCCGACCACUUGCUCCUCCAGGCCCUUCCUGGAUGGCUCUUUCUCGCCCCUCUUCUCCGGCUCCACCGCCACCCAAGCCCUGUUCCCUGAUGCAGUCCUAUUUAUCUCACUCAAAUGCUACACUCACCAGGAAGUCUUCCCCAAACCUCCCACCCCGAAUCUGGGGUAGCAGUCCCUCCUUUGUGCUUCCGUAAGACCUCGUUGCAUUAUGAUUGUUUAC
RNAcentral lists this long non-coding RNA (1060 nucleotides) under Equus caballus (horse). Its description in RNAcentral is "lncRNA (ENSECAG00000043078.2)". The record is from RNAcentral. Lineage: Eukaryota; Metazoa; Chordata; Mammalia; Perissodactyla; Equidae.